This 484-nucleotide ribosomal RNA is filed under the name uncultured bacterium. RNAcentral describes it as "partial 16S ribosomal RNA". It matches the Rfam family "Bacterial small subunit ribosomal RNA", at positions 30 to 507 of the family's 1533-position model. The record is from RNAcentral.
AUUGAACGCUGGCGGUAGGCCUAACACAUGCAAGUCGAGCGGAUGAAGGGAGCUUGCUCCUGGAUUCAGCGGCGGACGGGUGAGUAAUGCCUAGGAAUCUGCCUGGUAGUGGGGGAUAACGUCCGGAAACGGGCGCUAAUACCGCAUACGUCCUGAGGGAGAAAGUGGGGGAUCUUCGGACCUCACGCUAUCAGAUGAGCCUAGGUCGGAUUAGCUAGUUGGUGGGGUAAAGGCCUACCAAGGCGACGAUCCGUAACUGGUCUGAGAGGAUGAUCAGUCACACUGGAACUGGGACACGGUCCAGACUCCUACGGGAGGCAGCAGUGGGGAAUAUUGGACAAUGGGCGAAAGCCUGAUCCAGCCAUGCCGCGUGUGUGAAGAAGGUCUUCGGAUUGUAAAGCACUUUAAGUUGGGAGGAAGGGCAGUAAGUUAAUACCUUGCUGUUUUGACGUUACCAACAGAAUAAGCACCGGCUAACUUCGUG